Molecule: long non-coding RNA, 280 nt
Filed under: Chinchilla lanigera (long-tailed chinchilla)
Lineage: Eukaryota; Metazoa; Chordata; Mammalia; Rodentia; Chinchillidae
Description: lncRNA (ENSCLAG00000023374.1)
Source: RNAcentral
GGAAUUUUAUCUUGACCUGCAGAGUAAUGCUGCUGGAACAUGCGUAAUGCAAGAUACAUUCAGCUGUAAUAUUUUCCAAGAAAGUGAAUUCAUGAGAGACUCUUGAACCAACUUUCUAAGAUGUAUCCCUAAAAGCAGAAAAUGUGCAGCAAGUAACGUGACUAGUGGAUUUGGACAAAUUAGUUCAAAAGACAAACAGAUAGAAGAAGCACCACAGCAGUGAGCAGGAGCUGAAGAUGAGAAAGGUGGAAGACUUGAAGACAUCACGGCAUUGGCCAAA